RNAcentral lists this ribosomal RNA (451 nucleotides) under Terrahaemophilus aromaticivorans. Its description in RNAcentral is "bacterial SSU rRNA". It matches the Rfam family "Bacterial small subunit ribosomal RNA", at positions 30 to 475 of the family's 1533-position model. Lineage: Bacteria; Pseudomonadati; Pseudomonadota; Gammaproteobacteria; Pasteurellales; Pasteurellaceae. The record is from RNAcentral.
AUUGAACGCUGGCGGCAGGCUUAACACAUGCAAGUCGAACGGUAACAUAAAGGAGCUUGCUUCUUUGAUGACGAGUGGCGGACGGGUGAGUAAUGCUUGGGAAUCUAGCUUAUGGAGGGGGAUAACUACGGGAAACUGUAGCUAAUACCGCGUAGAAUCGGGAGAUGAAAGUGUGGGACCUUCGGGCCACAUGCCAUAGGAUGAGCCCAAGUGGGAUUAGGUAGUUGGUGAGGUAAAGGCUCACCAAGCCGACGAUCUCUAGCUGGUCUGAGAGGAUGACCAGCCACACUGGGACUGAGACACGGCCCAGACUCCUACGGGAGGCAGCAGUGGGGAAUAUUGCGCAAUGGGGGCAACCCUGACGCAGCCAUGCCGCGUGAAUGAAGAAGGCCUUCGGGUUGUAAAGUUCUUUCGGUAGCGAGGAAGGCAUUUAGUUUAAUAGACUAGGCGA